Molecule: ribosomal RNA, 425 nt
Filed under: uncultured bacterium
Lineage: Bacteria
Description: partial 16S ribosomal RNA
Rfam family: Bacterial small subunit ribosomal RNA
Source: RNAcentral
GUGGGGAAUAUUGGGCAAUGGGCGAAAGCCUGACCCAGCAACGCCGCGUGAAGGAAGAAGGUCUUCGGAUCGUAAACUUCUAUCCUUGGUGAAGAUAAUGACGGUAGCCGAGAAGGAAGCCCCGGCUAACUACGUGACAGCAGCCGCGGUAAUACGUAGGGGGCAAGCGUUGUCCGGAAUGAUUGGGCGUAAAGGGCGCGUAGGCGGCCUGGUAAGUCUGGAGUGAAAGUCCUGCUUUUAAGGUAGGAAUUGCUUUGGCUACUGUCGGGCUUGAGUGCAGGAGAGGUAAGUGGAGUUCCCGGUGUAGCGGUGAAAUGCGUAGAGAUCGGGAGGAACACCAGUGGCGAAGGCGACUUACUGGACUGUAACUGACGCUGAGGCGCGAAAGUGUGGGGAGCAAACAGGAUUAGAAACCCUAGUAGUCC